UAUGACUCUCGACAAUGGAUAUCUUGGCUCUUGCAUCGAUGAAGAGCGCAGCGAAAUGCGAUACCGUGGUGUGAAUUGCAGAAUCCCGUGAACCAUCGAGUUUUUGAACGCAAGUUGCGCCCGAGGCCAAUUGGCUAAGGGCACGUCCGCCUGGGCGUCAAGCAUU
This 166-nucleotide ribosomal RNA is filed under the name Goodyera schlechtendaliana. RNAcentral describes it as "5.8S ribosomal RNA". It matches the Rfam family "5.8S ribosomal RNA". From Rfam's summary of the family: 5.8S ribosomal RNA (5.8S rRNA) is a component of the large subunit of the eukaryotic ribosome. It is transcribed by RNA polymerase I as part of the 45S precursor that also contains 18S and 28S rRNA. The record is from RNAcentral. Lineage: Eukaryota; Viridiplantae; Streptophyta; Magnoliopsida; Asparagales; Orchidaceae.